UUGGAGGGCAAGUCUGGUGCCAGCAGCCGCGGUAAUUCCAGCUCCAAUAGCGUAUAUUAAAGUUGUUGCAGUUAAAAAGCUCGUAGUUGAAUUUCGAGAUCGGCUUACUGGUCGUGCUUUUGUACGUACUGGUAUAAUCGGUUUCUCCUUUCUGACGAACUUUAAUGCCAUUAAUUUGGUGUUUUAGGGAAUCAGGACUGUUACUUUGAAAAAAUUAGAGUGUUUAAAGCAGGC
Molecule: ribosomal RNA, 234 nt
Filed under: uncultured Glomus
Lineage: Eukaryota; Fungi; Glomeromycota; Glomeromycetes; Glomerales; Glomeraceae
Description: partial 18S ribosomal RNA
Rfam family: Eukaryotic small subunit ribosomal RNA
Source: RNAcentral